Molecule: long non-coding RNA, 837 nt
Organism: Herpailurus yagouaroundi (jaguarundi)
Lineage: Eukaryota; Metazoa; Chordata; Mammalia; Carnivora; Felidae
Exons: 3
Source: RefSeq, a predicted model, not a curated record
CGCCUGUACUGGUGGAGCCCGGUGAUGACGCUUUUGGGAAAGACCCACAGACUGGGCUCGGCGUGGCUGUGGUGGCUCCGGAGGGGGUCAGGGGCCGGCCUUCCUGCCAGCAGGAGGGGUGAAGCCGGAUGCUGCCUGGCGAGGCAGAGGAAGCGGGCCGCCCUGGAGGCGAGGGCGGUAGGCGGGGCCGGUGGCCUGCAGGUGUUUCCGUCCAGCUGAGUGGCCUGGACAGUGGCGGAUGGGCGGUCCUGCGGGCUCCGGCAGCGGACGCCUGGGUGUGCAGGCCGAGCAGGGCCCGGGCCUCCGCGAUUCUUCGGGGGGAUGCGACGCCUGGCUGUCUCCCAGGUGAGGGCGCGGCCUCCACAGAUGCUCCCCGCGGUCCCCACAGGUAGACGUAGACUUCUGUCAGCCCAGCCCCUGCCAGAAAGGAGCUCGCUGCUACAACCUGGAGGGCGACUAUUACUGCGCAUGCCCCGACGACGUGGGCGGCAAGAACUGUUCUGUGCCCAGGGAGUCGUGCCCGGGCGGGGCCUGCGGAGUGAUCGAUGGGUGCGGGUUUGAGUCGGAGUCCAGAGUGGCGGGCAGGGCCCCUUCUGGUGUAUGUGGUCCCCACGGGCACUGCGUCAGCCUGCCUGGGGGCAACUUCUCCUGCGUGUGCGACAGCGGCUUCACGGGCGCCUACUGCCAUGAGAACAUCGACGAUUGCCUGGGGCAGCCGUGUCGCAAUGGGGGCACGUGCAUCGAUGAGGUGGACGCAUUCCGCUGCUUCUGCCCCAGCGGCUGGGAGGGCGAGCUCUGUGACACUAGUGAGUAAGCCCCCCGCCCCCGGCCCCGCCC